GUGCACCAGGCGCGAAUCUUCCCCAAUGGACGAAAGUCUGAGGGAGCGACGCCGCGUGAAUGAAGAAGCCCUUCGGGGUGUAAAAUUCUUUUCUUUAGGAAAAAUUCGUGAUGGUACUAAAGGAAUAAGGGGCCGCCAAACUCGUGCCAGCAGCGGCCGGUAAUACGAGUGCCCCGAGCGUUAUCCGGAAUUACUGGGCGUAAAGCGCUAAAAAGGCGGUUUGAUAAGUCAGACGUCAAAUCUCCGAGCUCAACUCGGAGCCGGUGUCUGGAAAA
Molecule: ribosomal RNA, 275 nt
Filed under: uncultured microorganism
Description: partial 16S ribosomal RNA
Rfam family: Bacterial small subunit ribosomal RNA
Source: RNAcentral